AUACGGAGGGUGCAAGCGUUGUCCGGAUUUAUGGGGUUUAAAGGGUGCGUAGGUGGCGUGUUAAGUCAGUGGUGCAAGCCUGCAGCUCAACUGUAGAGGUGCCAUUGAUACUGACAUGCUUGAGUAUGGACGAGGUAGGCGGAAUUUGUGGUGUAGCGGUGAAAUGCAUAGAUACCACAAAGAACACCGAUAGCGAAGGCAGCUUACUGGACCAUAACUGACACUGAGGCACGAAAGUGUGGGUAGCGAACAGGAUUAGAAACCCCAGUAGUCC
Molecule: ribosomal RNA, 274 nt
Filed under: uncultured bacterium
Lineage: Bacteria
Description: partial 16S ribosomal RNA
Rfam family: Bacterial small subunit ribosomal RNA
Source: RNAcentral